GCAGCUCAGUCCUAGAGCAUCUGCUUUGCAUGCAGAAGGGCCAAGGUUCAACCCCAGGAAUCUCUA
Non-coding RNA from Podarcis lilfordi (Lilford's wall lizard), 66 nucleotides. Lineage: Eukaryota; Metazoa; Chordata; Lepidosauria; Squamata; Lacertidae. The record is from the annotation of a GenBank genome assembly.